This 752-nucleotide ribosomal RNA is filed under the name Trematoda environmental sample. RNAcentral's name for it is "SSU rRNA". It matches the Rfam family "Eukaryotic small subunit ribosomal RNA", at positions 115 to 759 of the family's 1831-position model. Lineage: Eukaryota; Metazoa; Platyhelminthes; Trematoda. The record is from RNAcentral.
GUUCCUUGGAUCGUACAUACUACAUGGAUAACUGUAGUAAUUCUAGAGCUAAUACAUGCCACUAUGCCCUGACCCGCGAGGGAACGGGUGGAUUUAUUAGAACAGAACCAACCGGGGGCGGCUUCGGUCGUCCCUGUUGCAUUCUGUGAUGACUCUGGAUAACUUCACUGAUCGCAGUCGGCCUUGUGUCGGCGACGGAUCUUUCAAAUGUCUGCCCUAUCAAUUUUCGAUGGUAGGUGACCUGCCUACCAUGGUGCUAACGGGUAACGGGGAAUCAGGGUUCGAUUCCGGAGAGGGAGCCUGAGAAACGGCUACCACUUCCAAGGAAGGCAGCAGGCACGCAAAUUACCCAAUCCCGGCACGGGGAGGUAGUGACGAAAAAUACGGAUACGGGACUCACUAGAGGCUCCGUAAUUCGAAUGAGUACAAUUUAAAUCCUUUAACGAGGAUCAACUGGAGGGCAAGUCUGGUGCCAGCAGCCGCGGUAACUCCAGCUCCAGAAGCGUAUAUUAAAGUUGUUGCAGUUAAAAAGCUCGUAGUUGGAUCUGGGUCGCAUGGCUACAUGCCGUCGCUCGUGGGUCUGGCCUGGUUACUGCCGGGUUGAGCUUGCGAGUCGGUCUCGUGGUUGUGCUUCCUUUCUGCUGUGUCUGUUUACAGGUGUCAGCGUGACUGGUGGGCUUGCCUGCUAGUCUGUUGGCAUGCUUCUUGGUGCCUUUAAUCGGGUGUCGGAGGCGGACAGCACGUUUACUUUG